CCGGAUGGAACGCCGAAUCCUGCCGCCGUCCGGGAAUCCGAAACCCACCCACGUACGGCAGGAGCGGGGGACCCAGGUAAGCCGCCGAUCCGGUCUCCGGAACGGCUAGGGGUGAAGUCGCACAUCCAUGCGGCCAGACAUCUCCCGUCUGAACCCGACAGCUCACCUCGUAGGCGCCGGAGAGGAAAUUC
RNAcentral lists this small RNA (191 nucleotides) under Streptomyces sp. Its description in RNAcentral is "c-di-AMP sequence". It matches the Rfam family "c-di-AMP riboswitch aptamer (ydaO/yuaA leader)". From Rfam's summary of the family: This family represents a conserved RNA structure found upstream of the ydaO and yuaA genes in Bacillus subtilis and related genes in other bacteria. The ydaO/yuaA element is thought to act as a genetic "off" switch for the ydaO and yuaA genes in its native state. It is believed that the element may be triggered during osmotic shock leading to activation of ydaO, a predicted amino acid transporter gene, and members of the yuaA-yubG operon which code for KtrA and KtrB K+ transporters. Lineage: Bacteria; Bacillati; Actinomycetota; Actinomycetes; Kitasatosporales; Streptomycetaceae. The record is from RNAcentral. RNAcentral also lists the same sequence under 2 other names.